RNAcentral lists this ribosomal RNA (434 nucleotides) under uncultured bacterium. RNAcentral's name for it is "partial 16S ribosomal RNA". It matches the Rfam family "Bacterial small subunit ribosomal RNA", at positions 29 to 507 of the family's 1533-position model. The record is from RNAcentral.
AGCGAACGCUGGCGGCAGGCCUAACACAUGCAAGUCGAACGAACCUUUCGGGGUUAGUGGCGGACGGGUGAGUAACACGUGGGAACGUGCCUUUAGGUUCGGAAUAACUCAGGGAAACUUGUGCUAAUACCGAAUGUGCCCUUCGGGGGAAAGAUUAAUCGCCUUUAGAGCGGCCCGCGUCUGAUUAGCUAGUUGGUUGAGGUAAUGGCUCACCAAGGCGACGAUCAGUAGCUGGUCUGAGAGGAUGAUCAGCGACAUUGGGACGGAGAAACGGCCCAAACUCCUACGGGAGGCAGCAGAGGGGAAUCGUGCGAAAUGGGCGAAAGACUGACGCAGCCAUGACGCGUGAAUGAUGAAGGUCUUAGGAUUGUAAAAUUCUUUCACCGGGGACGAUAAUGACGGUACCCGGAGAAGAAGCCCCGGCUAACUUCGUG